AGAGUUUGAUCCUGGCUCAGGAUGAACGCUGGUGGUAUGCUUAACACAUGCAAGUCGAACGGUCUUUUCGGAGAUAGUGGCGGACGGGUGAGUAACGCGUAAGAAUCUACCUUCAGGUUCGGGACAACCACUGGAAACGGUGGCUAAUACCGGAUGUGCCGAGAGGUGAAAGGCUUGCUGCCUGAAGAAGAGCUUGCGUCUGAUUAGCUAGUAGGUGUGGUAAAGGCGCACCUAGGCGACGAUCAGUAGCUGGUCUGAGAGGAUGAUCAGCCACACUGGGACUGAGACACGGCCCAGACUCCUACGGGAGGCAGCAGUGGGGAAUUUUCCGCAAUGGGCGAAAGCCUGACGGAGCAAUACCGCGUGAGGGAGGAAGGCUCUUGGGUUGUAAACCUCUUUUCUCAGGGAAGAAAAAAAUGACGGUACCUGAGGAAUAAGCAUCGGCUAACUCCGUGCCAGCAGCCGCGGUAAUACGGAGGAUGCAAGCGUUAUCCGGAAUGAUUGGGCGUAAAGGGUCCGCAGGUGGCAUUGUAAGUCUGCUGUUAAAGAGUCACGCUCAACGUGAUCAAGGCGGUGGAAACUACAAAGCUAGAGUGUGGUCGGGGCAGAAGGAAUUCCUGGUGUAGCGGUGAAAUGCGUAGAUAUCAGGAAGAACACCGGUGGCGAAGGCGUUCUGCUAGGCCAAGACUGACACUGAGGGACGAAAGCUAGGGGAGCGAAUGGGAUUAGAUACCCCAGUAGUCCUAGCCGUAAACGAUGGAUACUAGGCGUAGCUCGUAUCGACCCGAGCUGUGCCGUAGCUAACGCGUUAAGUAUCCCGCCUGGGGAGUACGCAGGCAACUGUGAAACUCAAAGGAAUUGACGGGGGCCCGCACAAGCGGUGGAGUAUGUGGUUUAAUUCGAUGCAACGCGAAGAACCUUACCAAGGCUUGACAUGUCACGAAUCCCGGCGAAAGUUGGGAGUGCCUUCGGGAGCGUGAACACAGGUGGUGCAUGGCUGUCGUCAGCUCGUGUCGUGAGAUGCUGGGUUAAGUCCCGCAACGAGCGCAACCCUCGUUUUUAGUUGCCAGCAUUAAGUUGGGCACUCUAGAGAGACUGCCGGUGACAAACCGGAGGAAGGUGGGGAUGACGUCAAGUCAGCAUGCCCCUUACGUCUUGGGCUACACACGUACUACAAUGCUACGGACAAAGGGCAGCUACACAGCGAUGUGAUGCGAAUCUCAUAAACCGUAGCUCAGUUCAGAUCGAAGGCUGCAACUCGCCUUCGUGAAGGAGGAAUCGCUAGUAAUUGCAGGUCAGCAUACUGCAGUGAAUUCGUUCCCGGGCCUUGUACACACCGCCCGUCACACCAUGGAAGUUGGUCACGCCCGAAGUCGUUACCCCAACCGCAAGGAGGGGGAUGCCUAAGGUAGGACUGAUGACUGGGGUGAAGUCGUAACAAGGUAACC
This 1448-nucleotide ribosomal RNA is filed under the name uncultured cyanobacterium. RNAcentral describes it as "bacterial SSU rRNA". It matches the Rfam family "Bacterial small subunit ribosomal RNA". The record is from RNAcentral. Lineage: Bacteria; Bacillati; Cyanobacteriota.